GUAAUCGCGGAUCAGAAUGCCGCGGUGAAUACGUUCCCGGGUCUUGUACACACCGCCCGUCACACCAUGGGAGUCGGAGAUACCCGAAGCCUGUGAGCUAACUUUUAGAGGCAGCAGUCGAAGGUAGAAUCAAUGAUUGGGGUGAAGUCGUAACAAGGUAGC
This 162-nucleotide ribosomal RNA is filed under the name uncultured bacterium. RNAcentral describes it as "partial 16S ribosomal RNA". It matches the Rfam family "Bacterial small subunit ribosomal RNA", at positions 1338 to 1500 of the family's 1533-position model. The record is from RNAcentral.